This is a long non-coding RNA of Peromyscus leucopus (white-footed mouse), 3989 nucleotides long. RefSeq lists it as uncharacterized. The transcript has 2 exons. Lineage: Eukaryota; Metazoa; Chordata; Mammalia; Rodentia; Cricetidae. The record is from RefSeq and is a predicted model, not a curated record.
ACUCAGAGAUCCGCCUGCCUCUGCUUCCCGAGUCCUGGGAUUAAAGGCAUGUACCACCACUGCCCGGCUGCCUCAAUAAUUUCAGCAGGAAUUGAGAAACCAUAUUGUGUUAUUUGUUACGAAGUUCUAUCAACCGAACAAACUAAAAUGCAAUUUUUGAUACCAAGCAUUCAAGCUUUGCCGGCAAGGAUACCAACUAUUUUAGAAGCAAAGUUGAUGGACUCAAAGCCAGACCUGACACUGGUGGCUAGUACCACAAACUAAACAUAGCAGCUGUUGAAGUUCGUAUUUGGUGGCACUCAGAAUCGCCAGAGCUAUGAAACCUCACAAUCUGCUGAGGAUUUAUUGUUGCCAGUGGCCAAAGACAGUAGUAUUCAAGUUAUGAUCAGAGAUGAAUGUGUUACACAGUUGAGUGCAGUUUCUUUAUCUAAUGACACUGUCCACAGAAGAAUGGAUGACAUGUCUGCUGACACUCGACCAUGUAAUCCAGGAAAUUAAAUCUUUAUUUGUAAUGUUUAGUAUCUAACCUGAUGAGUCUACAGAUGUUGCAAACUGUUCAGUUACUAGUUUACAUGAGGUAUAUUAAUGAUGGUGACUUUAAAGAUUAGUUUCUUUUUUGCAAUCCUCUUGAAACAGCAGCUGAUGUAUUUGACAUGGUUCAUUUCUGAAAGAGCAUAAGAUCUCAUGGGAGAAGGUUCGUGGGAUUUGCACAGAUGGUGCUCCAGCUACGCUAGCACAUCGAUCUGGGUUUCAACACUUGGUACUGAAUGAAUCACCGAAAGUGAUCGGAACUCACUGAUUCAUCAGCAAUUAUUAGCAAUGAAGAGGCUGCAACCAGAGUUACAAGUAAUGAAAGGCAUCGUUAAGUUCCUUCAAUUUUGUAAAGGAACUUGAAAUGACAUUGAACCAGACAAAAUGAUGGCAAUGAUAAUUUCUGUGAAAGAACACUUGUACAUGCUUGCAGACGACGAGAUUUCACCUUAUUUUCCAAAUCUGCCUGACCCCCCAGUUGCACUUGCCAGAAGCCCAUUCACAGUCAAAUUGAAGACGAUCCUGAGACAGUAUGAGAGAAAUCCAUUGAACAGUGAUGCAGCGAAAACUGAUUUCUUUCCGGUGCCGGUCACAAAAUCCUGAAUCAAGUGUUAGCCGUUGUACCCUGUCCUGCCGGAGACUGUUACAUCUUCUUCCAUUUCCACUAACAUAUCUUUGUGAAACAGGGUUUUUCAGCUUACUGGUUAUCAAGUCUAAAUACAGAGGUAGACUUGGGGAAGAUCUUUGUGCUCUUGCAAAGACUGCCCUGAGAAUCUUUCAUCUGGUGAGAAUGAAGCAUCAGUCUCUCACUGAGGUUGGCUUUUUGCACAUACAGCCACAAAAUGUAGCACAGUAGUUUACUGUUGUUAUGUUAAGACUUGGCCAGGCUACACCAUGCUUCAAGGCAAAACUUCAUUUAUUUGUAAUUAGAGCUAAAUAUCUCACACUAUAUAGCUAUAUAUUGUUUUGUAAUUAAUCACUGUGCUUUAGUUAUGUUCGAUUUGUAACAAUGAAAAUAACAUUCUGUGUAUCAGAUUUUACAUUGCGAUUCAAAAUGGUAGCAAAAUUACAGUUAUGAAGUAUCAGCGAAAAUAAUUUGAUGUUUGGGGGUCACCACAGCAUGAGGAACUGUAUUAAAGGGGUGCAGCAGGAGGAAGGGUGAGGAGCACCGCCCUAGAGAUUCUCUGAUCCCUGCCUCUGCUGGGGCUAACUCACUGUCAAUCCUCAGGGAUCCUCAAAAGCCCCUCCUCCAGAAUGUAGCCUCUUCUCUACAUUACCAUAUUAAGUCUGAAAUGUGACUGCCUCAGGGAAGGAAAACAGUUUGAACAAUUUCUGUGGGUGUCAGGCCGCCAGCCACCGGCUCUGCAUACCACUGGACAUGACACAGUGGAGUGACUAUGUUCUGGAAGCUAUUUAGAACUGGGAGGAGGCAGGUGGAUUUUCACUGCAAAGUGAUUUGCUUAGCUAACAUGCAUGAUGACUAAAAGUAAAGAUGUAAUCUGGACUUAGUAAAACUGACAGAUUGGCCUCUGGCUUUGAGUGAUUUUAAUCUGCAACAUGGAGAGUAUGUAUACUGUCGAUGCUCUGUGUUAUUUACAACUGCUUGCAUGGUUUUGUCUCUGUGAGCUAGAAUCUUGCCACUUGUCCUUCACUCCUCCUGAGUGGCUGGGACUACAAGUUUGUACACACCAUGGUGGCUGCUUAGUUUAGUUGGCUAACCUAGGCACAAAAAAAGAAAGAGUGUAUACCAUACAAACAGUAACAAAUUAAGUUUUCUCACGGUUUAGUAAGAAGGAAGAGUUUCAGUGCCCAGCAUUGUUGGUCUUAACUAGGAAAUUCAGAAAUGAUGUUGUAUAUGGACUAUAUGUGGUGAGUAUUGGACUAUAUGCGGUGAGUUGUGGACUCUAUGUGGUGAAUAUGGGACUAUGUGGUGAAUAUACAAUAUUCACAUAAUAGUGCUGAAGCAGAGAGCGGCUGGAGUAGGUGCUUCUGAAUUGCAUCUGGAAAACAGCCUCCUGGGUAAUCGUAGCCAGCAUAAUACCCAUUCCUUCAGAGAAGCCAGGGGGUAAGUGCUGGAGGUUGGUGUAUGUUUCAGGAAGGAUGCGCCCUUGAGUGCACACAAUAUGCAAAUGUUUGCCUAAAGUUCAUAUGUACAUAUGAAAUGAUGGGGGAAAUCCCAACUAACUAUAUUCCCUAGCCAAUAACAUGGUUUUUUUGUUUUGUGGGGUUUGGGGUUUUUUUUUCCCACGGUUUUUAUUAGUGUAUAAAUCUUUGUGUUGCUCUCGGGGCUGAGGAAACAAGAUGAGGAAAUUGAUACAGCAACAUGAACCUCACAGUAGGGAGUGUUUGGAGGAUGGAGGUGAUGGGUAGACAAUGGAUGGGUGGUCAGUGGUAGCCAGAAAACAAGUCCACUCCUAGACCAGGCAGGCCCUCUACAACAUCAUGUCUGUGAUGCCAACUGUUGUUUAAACCUGAAAGAGCUAGCAAUGACUGGGAAAGUCCCAUUCUGACCUGAAGAAAGGUUCCUGUUCUUAGGCUGAUAAAAUGCCCCUCUGGGGUAAAUGCAUUUAAAUGUCUUCUGGGUGCUGCUUGUCUGCCUAUGCUGUUGGAGCAGUGUUGGGAUUCAAACCCAGGACUCAUCGACGCUAGGGAAGCAUUCUAAUACCGAGCCUUAACCUCUACUUUUAGCCUUAUAGUGUGGAAAAUGGGUUGUUUGCUUGGGGAAGGAAAUCCCAUGCAUUAAACUGUUGCCCUAGAGUCUCAUAAAGCCAUGUUUAGACACGCACUGUCACCUGGGAAGACUUUGGACUCUGAGCACUGAAGAGGUAGACAGCUCAGUGUUAAGAGCACUUGCUGUCCUUCCUGGGGUCUUGGGUUCGGCUCCUAGAACCCACAUCUUGUGUGUCACAACCGCCUGUAACCGGGACAUCCGAUGUCCUGGCCUCUGGGCACAUGCACAUACAUAGAUUCAGAUACAUACAGCUAAACCUCUUCUUUUUUAUGUUGGAUCCCUUGCCCUUUGCUUGUUUUGUCUCCGAGUCCUGCUUGAAAUGGUGAUGCAAGGGAUAAACAGAACAAAAUGCCAAGAAGAGGAAACAAACUGCAUAAUACAUAUGCACGUACUUUAUGCCAGGUUGCUGGGGGCUGAAAGCAGGGCCUCACUGGUAUGCAAACACUACUACAAAGCCACCUCCAAAAGGACCAUUGAAUAUGAAAAUAUGACAAGAGGAGGAAGAGAACUCUACUGUAGGCACAGAGAUCCCCAGUUUCCAUUUACAGUGUGUGAGAUUUUAUCACCAGGCUGGGCUUGAACUCUCCAUCUGCCUCAGUGCUGGGAUUAUAGGCAAGCCCAGUACAAAUAAACAUCCUCAAGCCCUACCCUAGACCCAUAGAAUGGGUGCGGUUCAGCAAUUUCACACGUACGAUGCAGAGUCAAAUCCUGGCCAAAAAAAAAAAAA